RNAcentral lists this ribosomal RNA (2902 nucleotides) under Escherichia coli. Its description in RNAcentral is "23S ribosomal RNA". It matches the Rfam family "Bacterial large subunit ribosomal RNA". Lineage: Bacteria; Pseudomonadati; Pseudomonadota; Gammaproteobacteria; Enterobacterales; Enterobacteriaceae. The record is from RNAcentral.
GGUUAAGCGACUAAGCGUACACGGUGGAUGCCCUGGCAGUCAGAGGCGAUGAAGGACGUGCUAAUCUGCGAUAAGCGUCGGUAAGGUGAUAUGAACCGUUAUAACCGGCGAUUUCCGAAUGGGGAAACCCAGUGUGAUUCGUCACACUAUCAUUAACUGAAUCCAUAGGUUAAUGAGGCGAACCGGGGGAACUGAAACAUCUAAGUACCCCGAGGAAAAGAAAUCAACCGAGAUUCCCCCAGUAGCGGCGAGCGAACGGGGAGCAGCCCAGAGCCUGAAUCAGUGUGUGUGUUAGUGGAAGCGUCUGGAAAGGCGCGCGAUACAGGGUGACAGCCCCGUACACAAAAAUGCACAUGCUGUGAGCUCGAUGAGUAGGGCGGGACACGUGGUAUCCUGUCUGAAUAUGGGGGGACCAUCCUCCAAGGCUAAAUACUCCUGACUGACCGAUAGUGAACCAGUACCGUGAGGGAAAGGCGAAAAGAACCCCGGCGAGGGGAGUGAAAAAGAACCUGAAACCGUGUACGUACAAGCAGUGGGAGCACGCUUAGGCGUGUGACUGCGUACCUUUUGUAUAAUGGGUCAGCGACUUAUAUUCUGUAGCAAGGUUAACCGAAUAGGGGAGCCGAAGGGAAACCGAGUCUUAACUGGGCGUUAAGUUGCAGGGUAUAGACCCGAAACCCGGUGAUCUAGCCAUGGGCAGGUUGAAGGUUGGGUAACACUAACUGGAGGACCGAACCGACUAAUGUUGAAAAAUUAGCGGAUGACUUGUGGCUGGGGGUGAAAGGCCAAUCAAACCGGGAGAUAGCUGGUUCUCCCCGAAAGCUAUUUAGGUAGCGCCUCGUGAAUUCAUCUCCGGGGGUAGAGCACUGUUUCGGCAAGGGGGUCAUCCCGACUUACCAACCCGAUGCAAACUGCGAAUACCGGAGAAUGUUAUCACGGGAGACACACGGCGGGUGCUAACGUCCGUCGUGAAGAGGGAAACAACCCAGACCGCCAGCUAAGGUCCCAAAGUCAUGGUUAAGUGGGAAACGAUGUGGGAAGGCCCAGACAGCCAGGAUGUUGGCUUAGAAGCAGCCAUCAUUUAAAGAAAGCGUAAUAGCUCACUGGUCGAGUCGGCCUGCGCGGAAGAUGUAACGGGGCUAAACCAUGCACCGAAGCUGCGGCAGCGACGCUGAUGCGUUGUUGGGUAGGGGAGCGUUCUGUAAGCCUGUGAAGGUGUGCUGUGAGGCAUGCUGGAGGUAUCAGAAGUGCGAAUGCUGACAUAAGUAACGAUAAAGCGGGUGAAAAGCCCGCUCGCCGGAAGACCAAGGGUUCCUGUCCAACGUUAAUCGGGGCAGGGUGAGUCGACCCCUAAGGCGAGGCCGAAAGGCGUAGUCGAUGGGAAACAGGUUAAUAUUCCUGUACUUGGUGUUACUGCGAAGGGGGGACGGAGAAGGCUAUGUUGGCCGGGCGACGGUUGUCCCGGUUUAAGCGUGUAGGCUGGUUUUCCAGGCAAAUCCGGAAAAUCAAGGCUGAGGCGUGAUGACGAGGCACUACGGUGCUGAAGCAACAAAUGCCCUGCUUCCAGGAAAAGCCUCUAAGCAUCAGGUAACAUCAAAUCGUACCCCAAACCGACACAGGUGGUCAGGUAGAGAAUACCAAGGCGCUUGAGAGAACUCGGGUGAAGGAACUAGGCAAAAUGGUGCCGUAACUUCGGGAGAAGGCACGCUGAUAUGUAGGUGAAGUCCCUCGCGGAUGGAGCUGAAAUCAGUCGAAGAUACCAGCUGGCUGCAACUGUUUAUUAAAAACACAGCACUGUGCAAACACGAAAGUGGACGUAUACGGUGUGACGCCUGCCCGGUGCCGGAAGGUUAAUUGAUGGGGUUAGCGCAAGCGAAGCUCUUGAUCGAAGCCCCGGUAAACGGCGGCCGUAACUAUAACGGUCCUAAGGUAGCGAAAUUCCUUGUCGGGUAAGUUCCGACCUGCACGAAUGGCGUAAUGAUGGCAGGCUGUCUCCACCCGAGACUCAGUGAAAUUGAACUCGCUGUGAAGAUGCAGUGUACCCGCGGCAAGACGGAAAGACCCCGUGAACCUUUACUAUAGCUUGACACUGAACAUUGAGCCUUGAUGUGUAGGAUAGGUGGGAGGCUUUGAAGUGUGGACGCCAGUCUGCAUGGAGCCGACCUUGAAAUACCACCCUUUAAUGUUUGAUGUUCUAACGUUGACCCGUAAUCCGGGUUGCGGACAGUGUCUGGUGGGUAGUUUGACUGGGGCGGUCUCCUCCUAAAGAGUAACGGAGGAGCACGAAGGUUGGCUAAUCUGGUCGGACAUCAGGAGGUUAGUGCAAUGGCAUAAGCCAGCUUGACUGCGAGCGUGACGGCGCGAGCAGGUGCGAAAGCAGGUCAUAGUGAUCCGGUGGUUCUGAAUGGAAGGGCCAUCGCUCAACGGAUAAAAGGUACUCCGGGGAUAACAGGCUGAUACCGCCCAAGAGUUCAUAUCGACGGCGGUGUUUGGCACCUCGAUGUCGGCUCAUCACAUCCUGGGGCUGAAGUAGGUCCCAAGGGUAUGGCUGUUCGCCAUUUAAAGUGGUACGCGAGCUGGGUUUAGAACGUCGUGAGACAGUUCGGUCCCUAUCUGCCGUGGGCGCUGGAGAACUGAGGGGGGCUGCUCCUAGUACGAGAGGACCGGAGUGGACGCAUCACUGGUGUUCGGGUUGUCAUGCCAAUGGCACUGCCCGGUAGCUAAAUGCGGAAGAGAUAAGUGCUGAAAGCAUCUAAGCACGAAACUUGCCCCGAGAUGAGUUCUCCCUGACUCCUUGAGAGUCCUGAAGGAACGUUGAAGACGACGACGUUGAUAGGCCGGGUGUGUAAGCGCAGCGAUGCGUUGAGCUAACCGGUACUAAUGAACCGUGAGGCUUAACCUU